UACGGGGGGAGCAAGCGUUGUUCGGAUUUACUGGGCGUAAAGGGCGCGUAGGCGGCCACCGCAAGUCGGUUGUGAAAUCUCUGGGCUUAACCCAGAAAGGUCAACCGAUACUGCGGGGCUAGAGUGCAGAAGGGGCAACUGGAAUUCUCGGUGUAGCGGUGAAAUGCGUAGAUAUCGAGAGGAACACCAAUAGCGAAGGCAGCUCGCUGGGACGGUACUGACGCUGAGGCGCGAAAGCGUGGGGAGCGAACAGG
Molecule: ribosomal RNA, 254 nt
Filed under: uncultured bacterium
Lineage: Bacteria
Description: partial 16S ribosomal RNA
Rfam family: Bacterial small subunit ribosomal RNA
Source: RNAcentral